This 401-nucleotide ribosomal RNA is filed under the name uncultured bacterium. RNAcentral describes it as "bacterial SSU rRNA". It matches the Rfam family "Bacterial small subunit ribosomal RNA", at positions 8 to 409 of the family's 1533-position model. The record is from RNAcentral.
AGAGUUUGAUCCUGGCUCAGAUUGAACGCUGGCGGAAUGCUUUACACAUGCAAGUCGAACGGCAGCACGGGGGCAACCCUGGUGGCGAGUGGCGAACGGGUGAGUAAUACAUCGGAACGUGCCCAGUCGUGGGGGAUAACGCAGCGAAAGCUGUGCUAAUACCGCAUACGAUCUACGGAUGAAAGCGGGGGACUCGCAAGGGCCUCGCGCGAUUGGAGCGGCCGAUGGCAGAUUAGGUAGUUGGUGGGGUAAAGGCUCACCAAGCCUGCGAUCUGUAGCUGGUCUGAGAGGACGACCAGCCACACUGGGACUGAGACACGGCCCAGACUCCUACGGGAGGCAGCAGUGGGGAAUUUUGGACAAUGGGGGCAACCCUGAUCCAGCCAUGCCGCGUGAGUGAA